UGCUCAUCUGCUGAGUGGUUGAACAUCUGCUGAGUGGUUGAACAUCUGCUGAGUGGUUGAACAUCUGCUGAGUGGUUGAACAUCUGCUGAGUGGUUAAAUGUUUGUGUUUCGAUGUAAGAAAUUAUUUCUUCACCUUUCAUCUUAUGUGGUGUUGGAGUCAUUACUUCAGAUCCAUGAUUAGUUACCACAAUAUGUGUGUGUUUCAGUGAGGUGGAUGGGAACCCAGACUAUGACAACCUGGACAUCAGUAUGUGUGUGUUUCAGUGAGGUGGAUGGGAACCCAGACUAUGACAACAUGGACAUCAGUAUGUGUGUGUUUCAGUGAGGUGGAUGGGAACCCAGGCUAUGACAACAUGGACAUCAGUAUGUGUGUUUCAGUGAGGUGGAUGGGAACCCAGACUAUGACAACAUGGACAUCAGUAUGUGUGUGUUUCAGUGAGGUGGAUGGGAACCCAGACUACGACAACCUGGACAUCGUAAACCGAGAUGCAGAGGAAAAGUACUUUGAUGAGGAGGAGGAGGAAGAGGAUGAAUCAGAAGAGAAAGAGAUGUCUCAGUAGUUGUCAUGACAGCAGCUGUUUAUGGCAUGUAAAUAUGAAACUAAC
Long non-coding RNA from Esox lucius (northern pike), 606 nucleotides. NCBI's taxonomy places the organism in Eukaryota, Metazoa, Chordata, Actinopteri, Esociformes, Esocidae. The record is from Ensembl.